UGGGGAAUUUUGGACAAUGGGCGAAAGCCUGAUCCAGCAAUGCCGCGUGUGUGAAGAAGGCCUUCGGGUUGUAAAGCACUUUUGUCCGGAAAGAAAUCCUUGGCUCUAAUACAGUCGGGGGAUGACGGUACCGGAAGAAUAAGCACCGGCUAACUACGUGCCAGCAGCCGCGGUAAUACGUAGGGUGCAAGCGUUAAUCGGAAUUACUGGGCGUAAAGCGUGCGCAGGCGGUUUGCUAAGACCGAUGUGAAAUCCCCGGGCUCAACCUGGGAACUGCAUUGGUGACUGGCAGGCUAGAGUAUGGCAGAGGGGGGUAGAAUUCCACGUGUAGCAGUGAAAUGCGUAGAGAUGUGGAGGAAUACCGAUGGCGAAGGCAGCCCCCUGGGCCAAUAUUGACGCUCAUGCACGAAAGCGUGGGGAGCAAACAGGAUUAGAUACCCUGGUAGUCCACGCCCUAAACGAUGUCAACUAGUUGUUGGGGAUUCAUUUCCUUAGUAACGUAGCUAACGCGUGAAGUUGACCGCCUGGGGAGUACGGUCGCAAGAUUAAAACUUAAAGGAAUUGACGGGGUCAUAGCUGUUUCCU
RNAcentral lists this ribosomal RNA (585 nucleotides) under uncultured bacterium. Its description in RNAcentral is "partial 16S ribosomal RNA". It matches the Rfam family "Bacterial small subunit ribosomal RNA", at positions 355 to 1375 of the family's 1533-position model. The record is from RNAcentral.